Molecule: long non-coding RNA, 1644 nt
Filed under: Anser brachyrhynchus (Pink-footed goose)
Lineage: Eukaryota; Metazoa; Chordata; Aves; Anseriformes; Anatidae
Description: lncRNA (ENSABRG00000017308.1)
Source: RNAcentral
AUUUAAUUGUGUCAGAAUUUAAGCCAUAAAGUUAUAUGAAUCAUGGCUCUCAAACAUAUUUUUUUCUAAGUUGCUCACGAUGCAGUAAAUGGAAUUUAUUCCACUGUUUAUUAAACUUAUAAAUCUCUCCAUAUAAGUGCCUGAGUCCACCACUUCAGGAUGCAUCCAUACUAAUAACUUACUUCUAAGUUCAAGCUGUUAUUCAAGCUAAAAAUCCUGUAUUGACCACACAACGUGUUACCUCAGAUUUUGGCUUUAGUCCAGAACAAGGCAAAUGGCAGCCCUAGCAGAAAUAUUUGUGCUUAAAGAGAGGCUGGCUUCUGCAGAAAUUUUGCCUUCUACAAGCAGUGUUGAAGAGGUGUCAUGAACAGAUUGGUGCUGGGAGCCAGAGCCCACAUUUGAAUACAGGUGCCAAGGACGCACAGAGUGUAUGUGUAUACAGAGUGUGGACAAAUGAUUCUCUGAAGUGAGGGCACCUCAGAGAAGCAACCAGAAAGACAAACAUUUAUGACAGAACAUUGCUUAUGUGUCCUUAAUUCCUAAAAGCCUAAAGGAUGAUAAGAUUUCUAUAUGAUAACCUGCUUUGGAUGGCCAUCAUGACUGUAUAUUUAAACAGGAAAAUGACUGACACCUGGAAUAACUUAUUGCUACAAGUUCCUUAUGAGGCAAAGAGAAGCUUCCAAUAGAUACAGCAGCAUACCUUAAAUAUUAUGUGGCUAAUGACCCAAAGACAGACACGGUUCCUCGUUCUCUUGAGGAAACUAACAAGAGGAGACUGAAAAGGCUCAGGCCUUGAAAAAAAUUUCUCAGUGGUGGAACAACUUUUAUGGUUAGUCUUUGCACACAAUGAGAUUUCUAGUUUCUCAGGAACUUGUUCAAUGAGAUUUCCUUUCUUUUUUUUUUUUCUUUUUUUUUUUUUUUUUCCCCUACUAUCACUGUCCUUCCAGGAACAGAACUGAUGUCAUGCUGUACUGCUGGGAUUUUUACAAGACAUGGGAUUCCCUGGGACAUUUAUUUAUGAAGAAAAUGGGUUGUGGAAAGGAAGAAAGGACUACUGAAAGAAAUAGGAAGCCAAAAGAGAUCACUGAAGAAAAUAAAUCUUCCAACAUAAGAAAACAUAAAGCAGAUAAUGAAAGCCAAUGUCUGCCUGUCAUUUGCGUCUUUGAAAAUGUCUCCUGAAGCCCAGCAAUAUAAUGGAGUGCAGUUUUGAUGCUGACUGCUCAGAAGAACAGUCAGUCAAUGGUGAGACUUUUUCUAAUCUGGAUGCAUGAGAUAAGUCUGUUAACAAAGCCCAGUGAGCUCACUACAAUGGCAAGUGUCAAAUACUUUUGUCAUUUGAUAUAACCAAGUGUUGUACAAAGUUGGAUUUUACACUACAUUACUCAGUAACUUUAGAAAGUGCUAUCUGCUUCACCCUAAUUUGUGUGUAUAUAUAUGAAGUUUCUAUGUCUAAUGAAUACCUCUGUACUCCACUGUGCAAAAAGAUUCCCUCUAUCAGACAGUGACAACUCAAUCACAGUGUUUAAGCAUUUCUGUUUCCUAAUGGUCAGAAUAUACAGCACAACCACUGCCAUAUUAAGAACCUGAUGGAAUUACUUAGCCAGACCACUUCUGGUUUGCAUUAAAAAUAAAAAUAAUAAUAAU